RNAcentral lists this ribosomal RNA (479 nucleotides) under uncultured bacterium. RNAcentral describes it as "partial 16S ribosomal RNA". It matches the Rfam family "Bacterial small subunit ribosomal RNA", at positions 28 to 507 of the family's 1533-position model. The record is from RNAcentral.
GAUGAACGCUAGCGGGAGGCCUAACACAUGCAAGCCGAGCGGUAUUGUUUCUUCGGAAAUGAGAGAGCGGCGUACGGGUGCGUAACGCGUGUGCAACCUGCCUUUAUCUGGGGGAUAGCCUUUCGAAAGGAAGAUUAAUACUCCAUAAUAUAUUGAACGGCAUCGUUUAAUAUUGAAAGCUCCGGCGGAUAGAGAUGGGCACGCGCAAGAUUAGCUAGUUGGUGAGGUAACGGCUCACCAAGGCGAUGAUCUUUAGGGGGCCUGAGAGGGUGAUCCCCCACACUGGUACUGAGACACGGACCAGACUCCUACGGGAGGCAGCAGUGAGGAAUAUUGGUCAAUGGGUGCAAGCCUGAACCAGCCAUCCCGCGUGAAGGACGACUGCCCUAUGGGUUGUAAACUUCUUUUGUAUAGGGAUAAACCUACCCUCGUGAGGGUAGCUGAAGGUACUAUACGAAUAAGCACCGGCUAACUCCGUG